AAACUGAAGAGUUUGAUCAUGGCUCAGAUUGAACGCUGGCGGCAGGCCUAACACAUGCAAGUCGAGCGAGAAAGUACUUCGGUACGAGUAAAGCGGCGGACGGGUGAGUAACGCGUAGGAAUCUACCUGGUAGUGGGGGACAACAUGUGGAAACGCAUGCUAAUACCGCAUACGACCUAAGGGUGAAAGUGGGGGACCUUCGGGCCUCACGCUAUCGGAUGAGCCUGCGUAAGAUUAGCUAGUUGGUGAGGUAAGAGCUCACCAAGGCGACGAUCUUUAGCUGGUCUGAGAGGAUGAUCAGCACACUGGGACUGAGACACGCCAGACUCUACGGAGGCAGCAGUGGGGAAUAUUGCGCA
Molecule: non-coding RNA, 359 nt
Filed under: marine gamma proteobacterium HTCC2148
Lineage: Bacteria; Pseudomonadati; Pseudomonadota; Gammaproteobacteria; Cellvibrionales; Halieaceae
Description: Bacterial small subunit ribosomal RNA
Rfam family: Bacterial small subunit ribosomal RNA
Source: Rfam by way of RNAcentral